This is a non-coding RNA of Macaca mulatta (Rhesus monkey), 8364 nucleotides long. NCBI's taxonomy places the organism in Eukaryota, Metazoa, Chordata, Mammalia, Primates, Cercopithecidae. The record is from RefSeq and is a predicted model, not a curated record.
UACCCCUCCUGCCGCGCCGCGCGCUCGCGGACAGUCGGCGCGCGGGCCGGGCCCCGCCGGCGCCCCUCAGCUUCGCGCGCCUGUGGUGUUGCCCCGGGCUCCGGGGGAUGCCCCCGGCCGAGCACUUCUCAUGGCCGCCGACGUCUUCAUGUGCUCCCCGCGCCGGCCCCGCAGCCGGGGCCGCCAGGUGCUGCUCAAGCCCCAGGUGCCUGAGGACGACGACGACUCGGACACGGAUGAGCCGUCCCCGCCGCCCGCCUCCGGCGCGGCCACCCCGGCCCGGGCCCACGCGAGCGCCGCGCCACCGCCGCCUCGGGCCGGGCCGGGCCGCGAGGAGCCUCCGCGCCGCCAGCAGAUCAUCCACAGCGGCCACUUCAUGGUGUCGUCGCCGCACCGGGAGCACCCGCCCAAGAAGGGCUACGAUUUCGACACGGUCAACAAACAGACGUGCCAGACCUACAGCUUCGGCAAGACCAGCUCCUGCCACCUGUCCAUCGACGCCUCGCUCACCAAGCUCUUCGAGUGCAUGACUUUGGCCUACAGUGGGAAGUUGGUGUCUCCAAAGUGGAAGAAUUUCAAGGGCCUGAAGCUACAGUGGAGAGACAAGAUCCGGCUCAAUAAUGCCAUCUGGCGGGCCUGGUACAUGCAGUAUCUGGAGAAGCGCAAGAAUCCUGUGUGCCACUUUGUGACGCCCCUAGACGGCUCUGUGGACGUAGAUGAGCACCGCCGGCCGGAGGCCAUCACCACGGAAGGGAAGUACUGGAAGAGCCGCAUCGAGAUUGUGAUCCGGGAGUAUCACAAGUGGAGAACCUACUUCAAGAAAAGGCUACAGCAGCACAAGGAUGAGGACCUCUCCAGCCUGGUCCAGGACGAUGACAUGCUAUAUUGGCACAAGCACGGGGAUGGAUGGAAGACCCCCGUCCCCAUGGAGGAGGACCCCCUGCUGGACACAGACAUGCUCAUGUCGGAAUUCAGCGACACCCUCUUCUCCACGCUUUCUUCACACCAGCCGGUGGCCUGGCCCAAUCCCCGGGAAAUAGCACAUCUGGGAAAUGCAGACAUGAUCCAGCCGGGACUGAUUCCUUUGCAGCCUAACCUGGACUUCAUGGACACCUUCGAGCCUUUCCAGGACCUCUUCUCUUCUAGCCGCUCCAUUUUUGGCUCCAUGCUACCUGCAUCUGCCUCAGCACCUGUACCAGAUCCCAACAACCCACCUGCACAGGAGAGCGUCCUGCAGACCACCGCCCUCCCCACUGUGAGCCUGCCUGACAGCCUCAUCGCGCCCCCCACCGCCCCGCCCCUGGCUCACGUGGACGGGCAGAGCUGUGAACACACCUCCCGGGCUGAGGACCCGUUUAUCCAGCCCACGGACUUCGGUCCCUCAGAGCCACCACUGAGUGUCCCACAGCCCUUCCUCCCCGUCUUCACCAUGCCCCUGCUGUCUCCCAGCCCCGCUCCACCACCUGUCUCCCCCGUGUUACCGUUAGUUCCUCCUCCUGCCACUGCCCUGAACCCCCCAGCUCCACCCACCUUCCACCAGCCACAGAAGUUUGCUGGAGUGAGCAAAGUGCCGUCUGUCAUCACCCACACGGCCUCCGCCACCCUCACCCAUGACGCCUCUGCCACCACCUUCAGCCAGAGUCAGGGCCUUGUGAUCACCACCCAUCACCCUGCCCCAUCAGCGGCCCCCUGUGGACUGGCACUGUCUCCUGUCCCCCGGCCUCCUCAGCCACGGUUAACUUUUGUGCACCCCAAACCUGUAUCCUUGACUGGGGGCAGGCCUAAGCAGCCCCACAAAAUAGUGCCUGCUCCCAAACCAGAGCCCGUGUCCUUGGUGUUGAAGAACACCUGCAUCGCCCCAGCUGCCUUUUCAGGACAACCACAAGCGGUGAUCAUGACGUCAGGGCCUCUGAAGAGAGAAGGGAUGUUGGCCUCCACGGUGUCCCAGUCCAACGUGGUCAUCGCACCUGCUGCCAUCGCCAGGGCUCCUGGGGUCCCGGAGUUCCACAGCAGCAUCCUGGUGACAGAUCUCGGCCAUGGCACGAACAGCCCGCCUGCCCCCAUCUCCCGGCUCUUCCCGAGCACAGCGCAAGACCCCCUGGGGAAGGGCGAGCAGGUCCAGCUGCAUGGGGGCAGCCCCCAGGUCACUGUCACAGGGCCCAGUCGGGACUGCCCAAACUCAGGGCAGGCCUCUCCAUGUGCAUCGGAGCAGAGCCCCAGUCCUCAGUCUCCCCAGAACAACUGCUCAGGGAAAUCCGACCCCAAAAAUGUGGCUGCACUAAAGAACCGGCAGAUGAAGCACAUCUCAGCUGAGCAGAAAAGGCGCUUCAACAUCAAGAUGUGCUUCGACAUGCUCAACAGCCUCAUCUCCAACAAUUCCAAGCUGCUCCUGCCAGCAGCUGCUCCCUGCCACGGGAGUCCCCGUCACCCGGCGCCAGUUUGAUCACAUGAGAGACAUGUUUGACGAAUACGUGAAAAGCCGGACCUUGCAGAAUUGGAAGUUCUGGAUUUUCAGCAUAAUUAUCAAGCCGCUGUUUGAGUCAUUCAAGGGCAUGGUGUCCACCAGCAGCCUGGAGGAGCUGCACCGGACGGCGCUGUCCUGGCUGGACCAGCACUGCUCCCUGCCCAUCCUCAGGCCAAUGGUGUUGAACACGCUGCGGCAGCUGAGCACCUCCACCUCCAUCCUCACAGACCCGGCACAGCUGCCGGAGCAGGCAUCCAAGGCCGUCACCAGGAUCGGCAAAAGACUGGGAGAGUCCUAGCUGCUUAGCUGGCAUGCAGCCGCAUGAGAUGCCAGGAGACCCUUCCCUGCUCAUGGAGAGUGGGCUGCGCCCCCCCAGCCCUUCCUGACGCUCAGCCUUGGGGCCUCUCUCCAACUCUGCUGGCCCACCGUGGCGUCGGGAGGCCAUGCUCAGGUCUGAAGCAGGUUUGGGGCCUGCUGACAGCAAUAGCCCGCCUUCGGGAACCCCUUGCUGUGAACUCUCUCACUCAGUGACCUCAGUCACCAACCUCUUCUGCCCUUGGGGCAGCCCAGACAAAAGGGAAGUGCUGGCCGUGCUGGUCCUGCCCUGCUGGUGGCCUGCCAGGCCUGGCGCCAGUGAGCAGAAGUGAUGGGAUGAGGGUGACAGGGCCUGCUCCUGUCCUGAGGCCCAGCCUUGUCCCUCCUGCCACGUCCUGUCUACAUGCAUGCCUCUGCCUGAUGCCCUGCUCCACUCUCUGGCCUGCCCGUGGGGCAGUCGGAAGGCAUCUUUCUUUCUCCCCUCAACUCUUGACAAUGCCUGGCCCUCGUGGAUGGACUUGGGCUUCUAUUCAGGCUUAUGCAUGGCAGGCUGCCAGGAGGAAGUGCCUUCUUCAGAGAGCCUCCAGGACACAUAUGUGCAGAAACGGUGGAUGUGGGACACACAGGACCAGAAUGGAAGUGUGUGAUGCACGGUGGCUGCUCUGGCUGAGAGGCCCUGCUGGGUGUGUUUCAUCAGUCCCCUUUUAGCUCCACCUGACGUUGCAGGAUCCACAGGGACUCAGCUUAGGACUUUCUCGAAUGUCACCUCACCACCAUGGCCCUUCUGCCAUUCUUCUCUACUUGUCUCCAGCUGCAGCUGUUGACAGGUCAAGCGUGUCCAGUGGGAGCUUAGAACCCUGAAGUUCUAGUGUCCGAAAGAUCAGACUCCAUAUCCUGCUGUCAGCCUUGUCAUCUUGUCUGAUGUCUUUCAGCUGGGUUCCCCAAACCAGGACAGUUCUCAGACCAAGGAUGCCCCCACACUCAAAAGUCUGUCCUGUCUUGUGUUUGGAGAAGGAAACAAUGUUGGCGGGCAGCACUCUGCGGCGGUCAGCCCUCAGAGCUGUCUCUAGGCAUCUCUCAGAUCAGACAGCAAAGAAUCUACCCAGAUCAGGGCUGGGUGGAGGCAUGGCUGGGCUGGGGGCCAUUUUGAGCCUGCAGCGGGAGGUUGGCCCAGCCUCAGUCCUUGCCCUUUUCCGGCUACCUCUGCAGGGAGCUGCAGGGGCAGGCACUCUCUCCAGCACUCAGGAAGCCCGGCUGAGGGUACCUCCUCGUGGAAAGAACGCACUUUAAAGCUCUGCUGAGGGGUUCGGAGCCCAGGCUUUCAGGCGACUUCUGCCCUCUCUGCCUCUCUUCACCCUCCCUCUCUGCCUGCAGGGCCUGGGAAGGGCUUUGAGGGAGCCUGAGAGUCGUGUGAAGAGGGGCACCCCGGGCUGUCCCCGAAGUUUAGAUCCAGUUGGAGGUUCUCCCUGGCUCCUGCAGGCCUGCAGGGGUCUCUCCCCAGUUCAGGCCUCCGGCCAACUGCCUGCCCCCUUAUCUGUGCUUCAGCCUUGCACAAAAGCAGCUUGGUGACACCACUCAGCCACUCAGAGCAUGUGUUUACAGGCUUUCCAGAUCACCUUCCUUUGGGGUGAACAUAAGAUGAGGCUGGGCUGGUCCUUGGAAUUUCCCCUGGGAAAUGGUAACAGACUCCAUCCUUGACCCGGGGAUAAGCAUGAAGGCAAUGUCCCAAAGGCAGAGGCCACGGUGGUAGGAAUUCCACCAAGGCCAGAAGGGAAAAAGGAAGAGGCCACCGUGUCCAGCUGUGUGGGCCCUGGGGAGGGUCGUGAGUGCAGCCCUUCUCCACUUCCGUGCCUUUGUAAAAUGUGUAGAUAACCGCAGUGGUUGGCUGAGCCAAGAACUCUCCUAAGUCAGUGGCUUUCUCCCCACCCCUUGCUGGGGAUUCAUUCUUUUUAAACUCUGUGGGAUAUAAAAUUGGCCUCCUGCUGCUUCGGCCUACCUCUCCCUCUGCUGACUUAAUGUCAUGAUUCUGUUUCUUCAGGUAUUUAAGGCUGUUAGGUUGUGUGAGCCUUGAAGGGGGUGUGUGUGUGUGUGUGUGUGUGUGUGUGUGUCCCAGCAACUGUCCACUGUCCAGGAGAUGCAUGUCUUUGUAUUGGAGAUAUUUCUGUAACUCAUUCUCUUGGUGCUCACGAUUGCCAUGGCCAUAGGGCCACAGUGCCGUAUCUCUGCUGCAGACAUGAUUGUUUCUUGUUCUAGAGGUUUUCUUGUUUUCAAAUCUUGCCUGAUGAAUCCAGCCAGACCAAGGGGCCUAGAUUUGACCCCUGUCCUGGGCUCCUGGGCCAGGUGCAGGGACAUCUGAGGCCACUCUGCUGGCCGCCUCCAGUGGGAGCUGACCUCAGGGUGGGCUUUGUUUACACUCAUUUUCACCCUGAUUCUUGCCCCCACUUUCAUAAAAGAAAUUUCAAAAUGCUGACGCUUUGGAGAGUAAGAAAAUCAAUCUUGGCUGGGCGCGGAGGCUCCUGCCUGUGAUCCCAGCACUUUGGGAGGCUGAGGCUGGAGGAUUAGUUGAGCUCAGGAGUUGGAGACCAACCCUAGCAACAUAACAAGAUCCUGUCUCUACAAAACAAAAUUUAAAUUAGCCGGGUGGGUGUGGCAGUGAGUGCCUGUGGUCCCAGCUACUUGGGGCUGAGGCUGGAGGAUUACUUGAGCCUAGAAGUUGCAGUGAGCUAUGAUCAUGCCACACUGUACUCCAGCCUGGACUGACAGAGUAAAACCCUGCCUCUAAAUAAAAGAAAACAGAGGCCGAAUGCGGUGACUCACACCUGUAAUCUGAGCCCUUUGGGAGGCCAAAGUGGGUGGAUCACCUGAGGUCGGUCCGGAGUUCACAACCAGCCUGACCAACAUGGUGAAACCCUGUCUCUUCUAAAAAUACAAAACAUUAGCCGGGUGUGGUGGUGCACGCCUGUAAUCCCAGCUACUGGGGAGGCUGAGUCAGGAGAAUCACUUGAACCUGGGAGGCGGAGGUUGCAGUGAGCCGAGAUUGCACCACUGCACUCCAGCCUGGGUGACAGAGCGAAACCCUAUCUCAAAAAAAAAAAAAAAAAAAAAGAAAAAAAUAGAAAAUCCAAAAAGAAAAACCAAAAGUCCUGCUGGAAUCCCUGGCGGGUUUCUGAGAAAUCGCCCUGUGCUGUCAGCCCCUGCCCUGCACUGCUGCCUUCCGUGGUGGGUGGGAGACCCCAGAGCAGGGCAGGCGCUACUGAGGGCCUUUCUUGGAGUUGGCCGGCAGGCCACACAGCAUCCGGCACCCUGGGUGGGCUGGCUGGCCACCUUCUUAGGACGUCUCUACUUUGGAGGAUUUUACUGCAGGAAGCAGCGGCAGUGCUGGCCAUUGGCGCUGAUGACAACAUUGGGUUUGGUUGAGGGGAAGGGGCUGGAAAGCAGCAGGCCCCCCAGUGCUGCACAUGGUCCCGGAGCCGUCGGCCAGGGGAGUGGGGUCAGUGGUCAGCCAGCCCUCCCAUUUCCUGCCUAUGGGCCCUGACCACACUCCCUUUUCUAGAAGUCAAUCCUAAGGUUUCUCUGCUCUGGCUAAGAGGGAUGUAAAUUUGGAUUCUUGGAGGGCAUCACACCCCCAGUCCCUGCCCAGAUAAAGUGGCACAAUGGCAUGCGGCACCUCUUUCUGUUGCUGGGGUGGGGGGCUCACACACCCACCUCAUCUCUGUGCAGAGCCCUGACUGGCCCCGCCGGCAGCUGGAGUACAGGUAAGGGCCUCUCUCAGAGGGGAGCUGUAGCCGGGAACUGGCAAGGCCCCUUCCUGCAAGGCCCUAGCUGGCCUCUGGGUGAACCUGAGGUGGCAGGUUCAAGUUUUCAAGAUGGUGAGGUCUUGUCUGCUGGACAGGACAUUAUGCUCUCAGAACUCAUGGGAGUGGAGCUGGGCCUGUCCUGGGCCAGUGGACCCCUGUGUGGGGGGAAUUUGGGGUGCUGCGGGCCUGAUUCUGCACUGGCAGAUGGACUUUGCUUUAAUCCAGCUCUUUCCUUACCCUGGCUCUGACGUGGGAAGGCUUGGAGGGCCCCUCUCAUCACCCAUGCUGGCCCUCAGCUGUCCCUUUCCUUUGUCGCCUGGCUCCUGCCUGAGGCCUCCUAGCAGGCACCCUGGGUGUGAGUUGAGCCUCUCUCUUUUCCCUCUGAUGGGAAAGUGGCCUUUCCCUCGACACCUGCUCCCUGGCCCCAGAGGAACCCACCCGUUUUGGAGCUCAGCUUGGCCCAGCAUUUCCUUGGGGAAGGGAAAGGAGAGCUGGACAGCAUGAUCCAGGCAGGCAGCGUGUGCAGUGGUGGCCGGCCAGGGUGCCACAGAUGUACGGAGAUGUGGCGUGUGGCUCCGGGCCCUCAACAUCUCUGCUUUGGAGGAUUUUACCUUGUCUGCACACCUGUCAGGGGAGAGGGGACAGCAAGGUGGGAGGUUGAAGAGCUUUGAGGCUCAGCAGCAUGUUUGUGGCAUUCGGUGGACUCCGUGGCCUUGGGCAGCUGGACAGGUUUUUGUGAUGUGAGGGACAUACAUGGGGCACAUGGGAAGCUUGACCAGGGCUCCAGGAACGCUGACAAAGCGUUUUAGGACCCCCACCCCCAUGCCUGUACCAGGGCUGGCCUCCAGAGUGGGUGAGGACAGAGCAGCUGUGGGCUUUUCAUUCUGAGGUCUUGGCCCGCCCUGGCUACCGCAUGGGACUCUUUGCUUGUCAGGGCUUGCAAAAAAUCAACCUUCGAGAAAGAAAAGGGAACUCUUCACGUUGAAUGUUGACUCUGUGUGUGUGUGUGUGUGUGUGUGUGUGUGUGUGUGUGUGAGAGAGAGAGAGAGAGAGAGUGCGCAUGCGCGUGUGCACUUGCACAAGCUUGCGUGUCCGUGUUUACUUCAUGGAAUUUUGUUUUUGUGAAAUCCCCCUCCAAUCAUGUGUCAGAAUUUACCUCCAUGCCCCAGUCACACUGUUGGUUCUGCUCUCUGAACCCGGGUGUAGCUCAUUUGAAGGACUCUCUUCUGUGUUUCCUAACAGUUAUUUGGUGGUCUCAAGAGUUGAGGUUGUGGAGGGUUGGGAGAAACUGAAAUUCUGUACAUUUCCAUAGAGUUUACAUCCUGCAGUUAAAAGGCAGGAAGGGCUUAGCCCGGGCCCCACAGCUCCACGCCGCCCCCCACGGGCCGCCCACAGUGCCCCCGUUUCUCCAGCUGAAUCUUUUUCGAACAGCCCAGGAAAGGAAAGCGGGUUCGCUUGCUGAUUUUGUUCACAGCGGAAGCACCAUGUUCUGUUCCUUUUUUAGGUUCAGUUUGUUGUGUAAACGGCGGUUUUUUCUGGUGUGAGCUUUGGUGAUUGUGGCAGGGCUCCUCUGAGGAGACGGUUCCACCUCGUGGUUUGAAGAACAAACCAGAGAAGAGUCUGGUUUGGCCAGAGGACCCCUCUGGCCCACGUCACCCUGAGUACGCCCCUCUGAUGCUCUGCUGUCAAAAAGCACGUUUCCACCAGCUGUAUUCAACACUACAAUGCAUUUUUAAAACUAUAUUUGCAUCCAAGACAAUAAAGAAACCUUAUUUUUUUUGAAAAGCC